This 467-nucleotide ribosomal RNA is filed under the name uncultured bacterium. RNAcentral's name for it is "bacterial SSU rRNA". It matches the Rfam family "Bacterial small subunit ribosomal RNA", at positions 335 to 803 of the family's 1533-position model. The record is from RNAcentral.
ACUCCUACGGGAGGCAGCAGUGGGGAAUCUUGCGCAAUGGGCGGAAGCCUGACGCAGCAACGCCGCGUGAGGGAUGACGGCCUUCGGGUUGUAAACCUCUUUCGCGAUCGACGAAGGUCAUGCUUUUGGCAUGGCUGACGGUAGGUCGAGAAGAAGCACCGGCCAACUACGUGCCAGCAGCCGCGGUAAUACGUAGGGUGCGAGCGUUGUCCGGAAUUAUUGGGCGUAAAGAGCUCGUAGGCGGUGUGUCGCGUCGGCCGUGAAAACCUGGGGCUUAACUCUGGGCGUGCGGUCGAUACGGGCAUCACUAGAGUUCGGCAGGGGAGACUGGAAUUCCUGGUGUAGCGGUGAAAUGCGCAGAUAUCAGGAGGAACACCGGUGGCGAAGGCGGGUCUCUGGGCCGAUACUGACGCUGAGGAGCGAAAGCAUGGGUAGCGAACAGGAUUAGAUACCCUGGUAGGCGUAGU